UGUCCUGCUGUGCUCCGGCUGAGCCUCAGCUGCUAUGGACGGAUCUCCGAAACAUGUCCCUCUUCACUCCUGCAGCUCUAAACAGUCUGAAAUGCGUGUAAUGUCCUGUAACUGUCUCUUCAUGAUUGGCUGUGAGGAAAUGUUGAGCGGAUUGAGGAGAGGACACACCUCCACCUGUCCGGAUGCUUCAAACACAUCCUCAUGUAAUAGUACUGGAGCAUUAGCAUGUGCUGGCGAUGCUGCAAACGAGAUUCCAGAACGACAUUAGGCUCUUUUAUUUUCUUGAAGAGAAAUGGCAUUUCCACAAACGGCUACAAGAUGAAGCGACACACACAAACACAGCAGAAGCUGAAUUCAGUUUCUCAGACUAUUGUUGGUCACUAAACGUAAACGAAAGGAAAGUUCAGCAUCAAACUUCAGGAAAAAAAGGUAAUAUUAUACUACAAGUGUUGUAUUGUACAUUCAUUUAAUAUGUUGAGUCCACUCUGAAUUAAACUGCAGUAUAAAAACUCCCAG
RNAcentral lists this long non-coding RNA (516 nucleotides) under Danio rerio (zebrafish). RNAcentral's name for it is "lncRNA si:ch211-7c8.2 (ENSDARG00000098378.2)". Lineage: Eukaryota; Metazoa; Chordata; Actinopteri; Cypriniformes; Danionidae. The record is from RNAcentral.